UUGAAGAGUUUGAUCAUGGCUCAGAUUGAACGCUGGCGGCAGGCCUAACACAUGCAAGUCGAACGGUAACAGAAAGCAGCUUGCUGCUUUGCUGACGAGUGGCGGACGGGUGAGUAAUGUCUGGGAAACUGCCCGAUGGAGGGGGAUAACUACUGGAAACGGUAGCUAAUACCGCAUAACGUCGCAAGACCAAAGAGGGGGACCUUAGGGCCUCUUGCCAUCGGAUGUGCCCAGAUGGGAUUAGCUAGUAGGUGGGGUAAAGGCUCACCUAGGCGACGAUCCCUAGCUGGUCUGAGAGGAUGACCAGCCACACUGGAACUGAGACACGGUCCAGACUCCUACGGGAGGCAGCAGUGGGGAAUAUUGCACAAUGGGCGCAAGCCUGAUGCAGCCAUGCCGCGUGUAUGAAGAAGGCCUUCGGGUUGUAAAGUACUUUCAGCGGGGAGGAAGGGAGUAAAGUUAAUACCUUUGCUCAUUGACGUUACCCGCAGAAGAAGCACCGGCUAACUCCGUGCCAGCAGCCGCGGUAAUACGGAGGGUGCAAGCGUUAAUCGGAAUUACUGGGCGUAAAGCGCACGCAGGCGGUUUGUUAAGUCAGAUGUGAAAUCCCCGGGCUCAACCUGGGAACUGCAUCUGAUACUGGCAAGCUUGAGUCUCGUAGAGGGGGGUAGAAUUCCAGGUGUAGCGGUGAAAUGCGUAGAGAUCUGGAGGAAUACCGGUGGCGAAGGCGGCCCCCUGGACGAAGACUGACGCUCAGGUGCGAAAGCGUGGGGAGCAAACAGGAUUAGAUACCCUGGUAGUCCACGCCGUAAACGAUGUCGACUUGGAGGUUGUGCCCUUGAGGCGUGGCUUCCGGAGCUAACGCGUUAAGUCGACCGCCUGGGGAGUACGGCCGCAAGGUUAAAACUCAAAUGAAUUGACGGGGGCCCGCACAAGCGGUGGAGCAUGUGGUUUAAUUCGAUGCAACGCGAAGAACCUUACCUGGUCUUGACAUCCACGGAAGUUUUCAGAGAUGAGAAUGUGCCUUCGGGAACCGUGAGACAGGUGCUGCAUGGCUGUCGUCAGCUCGUGUUGUGAAAUGUUGGGUUAAGUCCCGCAACGAGCGCAACCCUUAUCCUUUGUUGCCAGCGGUCCGGCCGGGAACUCAAAGGAGACUGCCAGUGAUAAACUGGAGGAAGGUGGGGAUGACGUCAAGUCAUCAUGGCCCUUACGACCAGGGCUACACACGUGCUACAAUGGCGCAUACAAAGAGAAGCGACCUCGCGAGAGCAAGCGGACCUCAUAAAGUGCGUCGUAGUCCGGAUUGGAGUCUGCAACUCGACUCCAUGAAGUCGGAAUCGCUAGUAAUCGUGGAUCAGAAUGCCACGGUGAAUACGUUCCCGGGCCUUGUACACACCGCCCGUCACACCAUGGGAGUGGGUUGCAAAAGAAGUAGGUAGCUUAACCUUCGGGAGGGCGCUUACCACUUUGUGAUUCAUGACUGGGGUGAAGUCGUAACAAGGUAACCGUAGGGGAACCUGCGGUUGGAUCACCUCCUU
This 1538-nucleotide ribosomal RNA is filed under the name Escherichia coli. RNAcentral describes it as "bacterial SSU rRNA". It matches the Rfam family "Bacterial small subunit ribosomal RNA". The record is from RNAcentral. Lineage: Bacteria; Pseudomonadati; Pseudomonadota; Gammaproteobacteria; Enterobacterales; Enterobacteriaceae.